CCUACGGGACGCAGCAGUGGGGAAUAUUGCACAAUGGGCGCAAGCCUGAUGCAGCCAUGCCGCGUGUAUGAAGAAGGCCUUCGGGUUGGAAAGUACUUUCAGCGGUGAGGAAGGUGUUGUGGUUAAUAACCGCAGCAAUUGACGUUACCCGCAGAGGAAGCACCGGCUAACUCCGUGCCAGCAGCCGCGGUAAUACGGAGGGUGCAAGCGUUAAUCGGAAUUACUGGGCGUAAAGCGCACGCAGGCGGUCUGUCAAGUCGGAUGUGAAAUCCCCGGGCUCAACCUGGGAACUGCAUUCGAAACUGGCAGGCUAGAGUCUUGUAGAGGGGGGUAGAAUUCCAGGUGUAGCGGUGAAAUGCGUAGAGAUCUGGGGGAAUACCGGUGGCGAAGGCGGCCCCCUGGACAAAGACUGACGCUCAGGUGCGAAAGCGUGGGGAGCAAACAGGAUUAGAUACCCUCGUAGUC
RNAcentral lists this ribosomal RNA (465 nucleotides) under uncultured bacterium. RNAcentral's name for it is "bacterial SSU rRNA". It matches the Rfam family "Bacterial small subunit ribosomal RNA", at positions 338 to 795 of the family's 1533-position model. The record is from RNAcentral.